CAGGCUGCUGCAACUGUUUAUUAAAAACACAGCACUCUGCAAACACGAAAGUGGACGUAUAGGGUGUGAUGCCUGCCCGGUGCUGGAAGGUUAAUUGAUGGGGUUAGCGUAAGCGAAGCUCUUGAUCGAAGCCCCAGUAAACGGCGGCCGUAACUAUAACGGUCCUAAGGUAGCGAAAUUCCUUGUCGGGUAAGUUCCGACCUGCACGAAUGGCAUAAUGAUGGCAGCGCUGUCUCCAGCAGAGACUCAGUGAAAUCGAAAUCGCAGUGAAGAUGCUGUGUACCCGCGGCUAGACGGAUAGACCCCGUGAACCUUUACUACAGCUUUACAUUGAACUUUGACCUAACUUGUGUAGGAUAGGUGGGAGGCUUUGAAGCAGAUACGCCAGUAUUUGUGGAGCCAACCUUGAAAUACCACCCUGGUUAUGUUGGGGUUCUAACUUAGAUAUAACAGUAUCAAGGACAAUGUAUGGUGGGUAGUUUGACUGGGGCGGUCUCCUCCUAAAGAGUAACGGAGGAGUACGAAGGUGCGCUCAGAACGGUCGGAAAUCGUUCAAAGAGUAUAAAGGCAAAAGCGCGCUUAACUGCGAGACCCACAAGUCGAGCAGGUACGAAAGUAGGUCUUAGUGAUCCGGUGGUUCUGUAUGGAAGGGCCAUCGCUCAACGGAUAAAAGGUACUCUGGGGAUAACAGGCUGAUACCGCCCAAGAGUUCAUAUCGACGGCGGUGUUUGGCACCUCGAUGUCGGCUCAUCUCAUCCUGGGGCUGAAGCAGGUCCCAAGGGUAUGGCUGUUCGCCAUUUAAAGAGGUACGCGAGCUGGGUUUAGAACGUCGUGAGACAGUUCGGUCCCUAUCUACCGUGGGCGUUGGAAAUUUGAGAGGAUCUGCUCCUAGUACGAGAGGACCAGAGUGGACGAACCUCUGGUGUUUCGGUUG
RNAcentral lists this ribosomal RNA (934 nucleotides) under Moraxella catarrhalis. Its description in RNAcentral is "bacterial LSU rRNA". It matches the Rfam family "Bacterial large subunit ribosomal RNA", at positions 1787 to 2723 of the family's 2925-position model. Lineage: Bacteria; Pseudomonadati; Pseudomonadota; Gammaproteobacteria; Moraxellales; Moraxellaceae. The record is from RNAcentral.